UAAAAGGCAUGGAAGGGAAGAAGUAACUUAAGGAAAGCCUACAGAGAGCAGCCGGCAGGUGAGAGGCGCAGGGUGGAACUUCUGUGAAUACAUCCCGGAGCUGCGUACCGAAUCUGGCUUUACAGAUAGGCUGCGACGGAAUAGCACCCGUUAUUGUGCUGAAGUGAUUUUAUAUCGUAUUAUAUUGGAUAUAACAGGAUAUAGAUUCACUUUAUGAGGCAGGAAAUGCGAGUUUUCUGUAAAUUUAGGUGGUAACGCGGGACCCGGUUCUCGUCCUAAAC
Molecule: non-coding RNA, 281 nt
Filed under: Ruminococcus sp.
Lineage: Bacteria; Bacillati; Bacillota; Clostridia; Eubacteriales; Oscillospiraceae
Description: T-box sequence
Rfam family: T-box leader
About the family: Uncharged tRNA acts as the effector for transcription antitermination of genes in the T-box leader family. T-boxes are found upstream of many aminoacyl-tRNA synthetase genes and some amino acid biosynthetic genes usually in Gram-positive bacteria.
Source: RNAcentral